GGGGAUAUAUCUCAGUGGAAGGGUAGGGCACUUGCCUCAUAUAUGUAAAGCCCUGGGUUUAAUCCCCAGUACCCCCA
RNAcentral lists this transfer RNA (77 nucleotides) under Heterocephalus glaber (naked mole-rat). It matches the Rfam family "tRNA". Rfam says of the family: Transfer RNA (tRNA) molecules are approximately 80 nucleotides in length. Their secondary structure includes four short double-helical elements and three loops (D, anti-codon, and T loops). The record is from Rfam by way of RNAcentral. Lineage: Eukaryota; Metazoa; Chordata; Mammalia; Rodentia; Bathyergidae.